AUCGAAGCAGCUAAAACAACGUUCGACUUUGCAGCUCAACUUGGGCUACCUAAAAUGCAUAUCUUAGACAUCGGUGGAGGCUUCACAUCAGGUCCAAAGUUUACCGAUGCAGCCUCCGCCGUGAAAGUUGCUUUACAAAAAUAUUUCCCUGGUGAGCUAGCUGAUAGUAGCUUAAAAAUCAUUGCGGAACCUGGUUACUUCUUUUCUAAUUCGCCAUUUACAUUAGCGACAAGCAUAGUAGGGAAACGAGAAAGGGGAGACGUUAAAGAGUACUGGAUUAACGACGGAGUUUGGGGGUCUAUGAACAUUUUGAAGGACGAGCAUGACGAAGUGAUUUGCA
RNAcentral lists this long non-coding RNA (340 nucleotides) under Gossypium barbadense (sea-island cotton). RNAcentral's name for it is "long non-coding RNA (GBAR_LNC021125)". The record is from RNAcentral. Lineage: Eukaryota; Viridiplantae; Streptophyta; Magnoliopsida; Malvales; Malvaceae.